RNAcentral lists this small nucleolar RNA (123 nucleotides) under Mus caroli (Ryukyu mouse). Its description in RNAcentral is "predicted gene, 25836 (MGP_CAROLIEiJ_G0036424.1)". It matches the Rfam family "Small nucleolar RNA SNORA17". From Rfam's summary of the family: snoRNA ACA 17 belongs to the H/ACA family of snoRNAs and is predicted to guide pseudouridylation of the 28S rRNA at positions U4659 and U4598. Lineage: Eukaryota; Metazoa; Chordata; Mammalia; Rodentia; Muridae. The record is from RNAcentral.
CCUGCCCCUAGAUGCAUUGGCGGUUUGACUGCUGUAUCACAUGUGUCCAUAGGUAGCAUGGAGAAAUGCUAUGUAUAGACUCGGGGUUAUGACCUAUGGACAUCUGGUUAAUAACCUAGUAUU